This 648-nucleotide ribosomal RNA is filed under the name Helostroma bacarum. RNAcentral's name for it is "eukaryotic LSU rRNA". It matches the Rfam family "Eukaryotic large subunit ribosomal RNA", at positions 64 to 694 of the family's 3401-position model. Lineage: Eukaryota; Fungi; Basidiomycota; Exobasidiomycetes; Microstromatales; Microstromataceae. The record is from RNAcentral.
ACUAACAAGGAUUCCCCUAGUAACGGCGAGUGAAGCGGGAAGAGCUCAAAUUUGAAAGCUGGCGCCUUCGGCGUCCGCGUUGUAAUCUCGAGAAGUGUUUUCCGUGCUGGACCAUGUACAAGUUCCUUGGAAUAGGACGUCAUAGAGGGUGAAAAUCCCGUCCUUGACAUGGACGCCCAGUGCUUUGUGAUACGCUCUCCACGAGUCGAGUUGUUUGGGAAUGCAGCUCAAAAUGGGUGGUAAAUUCCAUCUAAAGCUAAAUAUUGGGGAGAGACCGAUAGCGAACAAGUACCGUGAGGGAAAGAUGAAAAGCACUUUGGAAAGAGAGUUAAACAGUACGUGAAAUUGUCGAAAGGGAAGCGCUUGAAGUUAGACAUGCCUGCUGGAAUUCAGCCUUGCUUUUUGCUUGGUGUAUUUUCCGGUGAGCAGGCCAGCAUCAGUUUUGUCUGUCGGAUAAGGGUAGGAGGAACGUAGCCCCCCUCGGGGGGUGUUAUAGCCUCUUACUGGAUACGGCGGAUGGGACUGAGGACCGCAGUGUGCCUUUAUGGCGGGCCUUCGGGCACCUUCACACUUAGGAUGCUGGCGUAAUGGCUUUAAGCGACCCGUCUUGAAACACGGACCGAGGAGUCUAACAUGUCUGCGAGUCUU